Molecule: unclassified non-coding RNA, 424 nt
Filed under: soil metagenome
Description: partial contains 5.8S ribosomal RNA, internal transcribed spacer 2, and large subunit ribosomal RNA
Rfam family: 5.8S ribosomal RNA (bases 2-120)
Source: RNAcentral
UAUGAAGAACGUAGCGAAAUGCGAUACGUAAUGUGAAUUGCAGAAUUCAGUGAAUCAUCGAAUCUUUGAACGCAUAUUGCGCUCUCUGGUAUUCCGGAGAGCAUGCUUGUUUGAGUAUCAGUAAACACCUCAACUCCCUUUCUUCUUGAAAUGGAGCUGGACUUGAGUGAUCCCAACGCUUUAUUCAUAAAGUGGCGGGUUACUUGAAAUGCAGGUGCAGCUGGACUUUUCUCUGAGCUAUAAGCAUAUCUAUUUAGUCUGCCUCAAAACAGAUUAUUACCUUUGCUGCAGCUAACAUAAAGGAGAUUAGUUCUUGUGCUGACUGAUGCAGGAUUCACAAAGACCGCUUCGGCUGUCUUUGUAAACUCGAUCUCAAAUCAAGUAAGACUACCCGCUGAACUUAAGCAUAUCAAUAAGCGGAGGA